GAGUGGGAUAGGCUGUGCCUGAGGAAAAGGAAGAUGUUGUGUUCCAGGUUCCUGGAAUAAGAGACUAGGAAGUAGCUCUGGGGUUACUGCUCUGGGAAAUGAGCAGAGCUGGGAAAUUACCAGGAGCAGGCAUGUCAGAGAGCCUUUGGAGAGUGGCCCUGAAGUACGAGAGAAAUGAGACAGGACAGCUGGAACUUUGAAACUCCAAGGCAAUAUAUUAAUGGUGUAACAGGUGAGAAGAAGAGACUCAGAUAUCAGAUACUGGGUUGCAUGCAAGCACCUUAUGAAGGAUUGUCUUUAAGCCACCUUUGCAUCACCUCCUGAAACUGCAAUCCGUCCUCCAAGGACUCAUCCUGUUCCCUGCGGCUCCUAUUGCAGUUCUGCAAAUACUGCACGAUCAUGCACCCUGUGAUUGCAGUGCUCAUUACAAAAGUGCAAAUUGUGCUGCAGAUGAAAUUAUGGGAUGGAGAGCACUGCAUUAUGGGAAUUUGACUCCAGGCUCGGUCACACCUGUGAUUCAUUUCAGCCCCAUUAGGCAUUGCAAAAACUACCCCAAACACUCUGUUCUAGAUGGUGCACUGCAUUCUGCAUCAAUACAAGUGCUCGUAGUGAGGAUGCUAACACAAGGAACAAAGCAUGCAUACGCACAAGCGAUGUAAUAACUGCAGCAGCUGUAUACUGAUAUAACUUAUUUUGACAUAAUUUUGUAGCAUAGACAUGGCCUUAGUAGAGGACACUGUUUUCCUAAACAUCUCUGAAUAUGUACUAUCAGCCAUGUAUAUGAUUUCCCAGUUCAAUUGCUUUUGUAAUUUAGGUUUGACAAUUUGAUCUGUUUUCUUGUUCAACUAGUUUUUUUUACAAAGUUCUUUUUAGUAAAGGGCCUUUUUUUGGUUACUAUUUCAUCACAUUCUCUUCAUAAACCAUCAUUUUAUGUUAUGUACAAUGAUUGGCUCUGCUUUAGUACCUUUUAAAAUAAGAGUUAAACACAAGUCGUAGAACUUAAACUAUUUCAUAUAAAAACGAGUACAUUUUUCUGUAUCACAGAGCAUGAUUGAACAUGUCUGCAAUAACUCUUGAUACAUACAAAGCUCCUUCUGUAGUUUGUCAUCUUUGUGAUCUCCUUUAAAAUGGAAAAACCCCGUCUGUGCAGAUGGCUUUUUCCAUUAGCCUCUCAGUGAUCUGACUCUAAUAAUACUUUUCUGGAGUAUAAAUUGUACAUGCUAUAGAUAAAAGCUGACACUCUUGUAAAGUCUAACAGUUAUAUUUCAGUAACGGCAUUAAUGCAAUUUUAGCUUUCAUUUAACAAAGUUUUUUUUUCUUGAUAGUAAUAUUUAGUGUUAAUAGCACAGCAUAUUUUAACCAGCUGAUCAUAUACUAUGGUUACGGCUUUGUUCUCUAAAUGAUAUUGAACAAAAAUAAUUUCAAACUUGGGAAAGUCUGAUUUUGUAGGGUGAUUUAAGAGUGAAUAAAAAAAUCUGUUUUUCUCAUUCUACAAAAUUGCAACAAUAAAUAUGUCUUGGUACUGUACAAGUCAUUUAUGUGCUUCUUAAAAUGAGGGAAAAAAGGGACUAGC
Long non-coding RNA from Mauremys reevesii (Reeves's turtle), 1573 nucleotides. RefSeq lists it as uncharacterized. NCBI's taxonomy places the organism in Eukaryota, Metazoa, Chordata, Testudines, Geoemydidae. The record is from RefSeq and is a predicted model, not a curated record. The transcript is spliced from 4 exons.